Molecule: ribosomal RNA, 253 nt
Filed under: uncultured Adhaeribacter sp.
Lineage: Bacteria; Pseudomonadati; Bacteroidota; Cytophagia; Cytophagales; Hymenobacteraceae
Description: partial 16S ribosomal RNA
Rfam family: Bacterial small subunit ribosomal RNA
Source: RNAcentral
UACGGAGGGUGCAAGCGUUGUCCGGAUUUAUUGGGUUUAAAGGGUGCGUAGGCGGCCUUUUAAGUCAGUGGUGAAAGCCCAUAGCUCAACUAUGGAACUGCCAUUGAUACUGAAAGGCUUGAGUAGAGACGAGGUUGGCGGAAUGGAUGGUGUAGCGGUGAAAUGCAUAGAUACCAUCCAGAACUCCGAUUGCGUAGGCAGCUAACUAGGCUGUAACUGACGCUGAGGCACGAAAGCGUGGGGAGCAAACAGG